Copidosoma floridanum is the source of this 674-nucleotide RNA transcript. It is a transcript of the gene named ribosomal protein L27A, with no coding region annotated. The record is from RefSeq and is a predicted model, not a curated record. NCBI's taxonomy places the organism in Eukaryota, Metazoa, Arthropoda, Insecta, Hymenoptera, Encyrtidae.
CGUCUUUUCUAAGGUGUUUACACGAAGGCGAACAUGUCUACACACAAAAAGAAGACCAGGAAAUUGCGUGGACACGUGAGCCAUGGUCAUGGACGUAUUGGCAAGCACAGGAAACAUCCUGGUGGCCGAGGUAAUGCUGGUGGUAUGCACCAUCACCGCAUCAACUUCGACAAGUACCAUCCAGGAUACUUCGGAAAGCUGGGUAUGAGAAAUUACCAUCUGCGCAGAAACACAAAGUGGUGUCCAACUUUGAAUUUAGACAAGUUGUGGACUUUAGUAUCUGAGCAAACGAGGCUUAAGUACAAGGAUGCUAAGCCUGAUGGCAAAGUUCCCGUCAUCGACCUUGUUAAGGCUGGAUAUUACAAACUUUUAGGAAAGGGAAGAUUACCCAAGCAACCAGUUAUUGUUAAGGCUAAAUUUUUCAGUAAGUCAGCUGAGGAGAAAAUCAAGGCUAUUGGAGGAACGUGUUUGCUGAGUGCUUAAAUUAUAAGGUAACUAUUUUGGAAUGUCUUGCAUCGAAAAUUUAAAGAAUAUUAUUAAACAGUAAAUUUAAAAGUAGUUUAGUGAUGAUAUGUGAACGGGCGGACUUAAAAGUUACUUGCUUCAUUGGAUUGUACAGCCAACAUCUUAAGUACAUUUUUUAAUAAUAAAAAAAACCAAAAAAAUCUUAAAAA